UACAGAGGUCUCAAGCGUUGUUCGGAUUCAUUGGGCGUAAAGGGCGCGUAGGCGGCUCGGUAAGCGUGCGGUGAAAGCCCGGGGCUCAACCCCGGGUCGGCCGUGCGAACCGCAGAGCUGGAGCACUGUAGAGGCAGGUGGAAUUCCGGGUGUAGCGGUGGAAUGCGUAGAGAUCCGGAAGAACACCGGUGGCGAAGGCGGCCUGCUGGGCAGUUGCUGACGCUGAGGCGCGACAGCGUGGGGAGCAAACAGG
This 253-nucleotide ribosomal RNA is filed under the name uncultured bacterium. Its description in RNAcentral is "partial 16S ribosomal RNA". It matches the Rfam family "Bacterial small subunit ribosomal RNA", at positions 524 to 776 of the family's 1533-position model. The record is from RNAcentral.